Long non-coding RNA from Cervus elaphus (red deer), 748 nucleotides. RefSeq lists it as uncharacterized. The transcript is spliced from 3 exons. Lineage: Eukaryota; Metazoa; Chordata; Mammalia; Artiodactyla; Cervidae. The record is from RefSeq and is a predicted model, not a curated record.
CCAGAAGGUGGUUAUCGGCAAGCCAGGACAGGAGUUGUCAGCAGAAACUAUUGUGAUGGUACCCUGAUCUCAGACUUCCACCCUCCAGAAGGGGGACUCCGGUUCGAUUUCUGGUCAGGGAAUUAAGGCCCCACAUUCCACUGGGAAACUAAGCUUGCAUGCCGCAAAUGGAGAGCCCACACCCUGCAACCAAAGAUCCUGUGUGCUGCAACUAAGACCCAAUGCAGCCAAAAAUAAGCUGCCUGUCUCUCCUGUCUCGCCUCCUGUGUGAUGAUGCCUAAGGAUCGGAGAGAGGUUUCCAUUUUGAAUCUCUGCUGACGGCACAAGCAGCCUCUGCUUCCCUACAAAAAAAUUCCUCAAGAUGUUGGGACAACUGUAUACGCGAAGUUGAACAAUGGAUCCACAUGGUUAUAAAUGGCUGUUCUAUUCUCAGAAAGCUCAAAAAUACUUAAAAUCCUCAAUCACAGUUGUCCCUUUUAACCCUUCUUGCUGAUGUUUUGUUGCCUUUUGAAUUUCAUUUUAUUUUAUUUUGCAAUUAGACAUGUGAGGCUGAAGUCCAGUGGCCGGCCAGUAGAGAUUAGACUUCCUGUGGGGCUCCUAAUGGUUUCCAUCUGUAUCUACAACGGGGUUAACUUUACAGCUUUCUAAAAAUCACUGGUAUCAGUCCAUCUGACUUCCCAGGUGGGGCAGUGGUAAAGAAUCCGUCUGCUAAGGCAGGAGAUGCCAGCGAUGCGGGUUCCAUCCCUGG